UUGGGCAAUGGGCGCAAGCCUGACCCAGCAAUGCCGCGUGAAGGAUGACGCCCUUCGGGGUGUAAACUUCUUUUGUGUGGGAGGAGACAGGACCGUACCACACGAAUCAGUCACGGCUAACUACGUGCCAGCAGCCGCGGUAAUACGUAGGUGGCGAACGUUAUCCGGAAUUACUGGGCGUAAAGGGUCCGCAGGCGGGUCACCAAGUCCGGCGUGAAAGCUCCCGGCUCAACUGGGAGAGGGCGUUGGAAACUGGUGGUCUUGAAUCUCACAGAGGUCGGUGGAAUUCCCGGUGUAGUGGUGGAAUGCGUAGAGAUCGGGAGGAACCUCGAAAGCGAAGGCAACCGGCUGGGUGAAGAUUGACGCUGAGGGACGAAAGCGUGGGGAGCGAACAGGAUUAGAUACCCUGGUAGUCCACGCCCUAAACGAUGUGUGCUCGGUGUCUGCGCGUCAAGCGUGGGCGCCUCAGCCAACGCGCAAGCACACCGCCUGGGGAGUACGGCCGCAAGGCUAAAACUCAAAGGAAUUGACGGA
This 534-nucleotide ribosomal RNA is filed under the name uncultured bacterium. RNAcentral's name for it is "bacterial SSU rRNA". It matches the Rfam family "Bacterial small subunit ribosomal RNA", at positions 364 to 917 of the family's 1533-position model. The record is from RNAcentral.